UAAUCGCGGAUCAGCAUGCCGCGGUGAAUACGUUCCCGGGCCUUGUACACACCGCCCGUCACACCAUGGGAGUUUGUAACGCCCAAAGUCGGUGGCCUAACCUUUAUGGAGGGAGCCGCCUAAGGCGGGACAGAUGACUGGGGUGAAGUCGUAACAAGGUAGCCGUAGGAGAACCUGCGGCUGGAUCACCUCCUUUCUAAGGAA
The sequence is a ribosomal RNA, 204 nucleotides long. It matches the Rfam family "Bacterial small subunit ribosomal RNA", at positions 1339 to 1533 of the family's 1533-position model.